GUCCGUGUAGCGCAAUGGAGAGCGCGUUGGACUUUUAAUCCAAAGGUCGUGGAUUCGAGUCCCGCCUGGGAUG
Molecule: non-coding RNA, 73 nt
Organism: Trichonephila clavata
Lineage: Eukaryota; Metazoa; Arthropoda; Arachnida; Araneae; Nephilidae
Source: the annotation of a GenBank genome assembly